GAAUGAAAUAAUGUUUUAUUUAAUUGGUUUAUUCAUUUAAAGAGAUUCCUUUAAUUGAAAUAGAGAAAAGGAAAAAUAAAACCAGGUUCUAAGCACUCCAGGGCGAAACCGGUAGAUCAUUUUUUAAAUGAAUACCCCAAAUUAAGAAUUUAAUUUAAAAAAUGAUUUAUUUCUCUCCCUCCACGUAUGUAGUAUGUGAAAGGCAAGAGAGACCCUUUGAACUAGGGAAAAGUUAUCUUUUGAAAUGACUUCAGUGAUCUGACUCGAUCUGUAUUUCAACCGCUUUAACUUCACACCAUCCGCACUGGGCGAUGAAGACGCACAGAUUCAGGUCAAAUUCACCCUCCUGAAAAACUGCAAAUUAAGAUGCUGUUGAUUACGCACCGCAGGCUGUUUUAAUCGUCGUGAUCAAAAUCCAAAGAUUCAGGAAAGGGGCCCAGAAGGGAUACGUUUGGGCUUUUGACAGACCCUCGACCAAACCCUGACGCCCAGCCUUCGCGUUUCCACAUCUUUUUCCAGGCAAGAGGCUCCACCAGCCCGCGUGGGGGUCGCAGUGUUUCUCAAGAGUGGCUAGACAUCCCCCAUCCCCCAAACCCAGACACACCCCGACCCCCGCGAAUGGUUCCGGGCUGUCAAAACACGCGGCGGCGUGUUCAGUCCCAAUAACUCGCGUGAUGAUUAAUGAGCAGCUUGAUAAUUUAAUAUCGCGUGUGAUUAAAUUAUAAGGCGUGGGGGAGGGGAGCUCCGCGCCGCCUCGGCAGCCCAGCCGACGCCGACGAGCCAGCAGGUCCCGGCUGUGCGCCGAGCCUGCUCUUCCCGUGCACAGUGCCCGGCGAGGCUCGGCGAGCGGCGGGUCCGCGCCUUCCUAAGGUCGACAGCCCAGAAGUGCUACGUAGUAAGUACUCCCAGGAGCGACCCCCAACCAGCGAAGGACCGGAGAUGGUGGACCCAAGCUUGCUUGACCAUGGUGGGGCAGCCAGGCAUGACUCUACCCAGCCCCAGGUUGCCCUGUGAUAACCUGUUCAUCAACACAGUUUCUGUUAGCUUUUCACCCUUCCCUUCCUCCCUUCCCUGUUCCC
This 1079-nucleotide long non-coding RNA is filed under the name Callithrix jacchus (white-tufted-ear marmoset). RNAcentral's name for it is "lncRNA (ENSCJAG00000086516.1)". Lineage: Eukaryota; Metazoa; Chordata; Mammalia; Primates; Cebidae. The record is from RNAcentral.